Molecule: ribosomal RNA, 1554 nt
Filed under: Escherichia coli
Lineage: Bacteria; Pseudomonadati; Pseudomonadota; Gammaproteobacteria; Enterobacterales; Enterobacteriaceae
Also listed under: 1 other name
Description: bacterial SSU rRNA
Rfam family: Bacterial small subunit ribosomal RNA
Source: RNAcentral
AAAUUGAAGAGUUUGAUCAUGGCUCAGAUUGAACGCUGGCGGCAGGCCUAACACAUGCAAGUCGAACGGUAACAGGAAGCAGCUUGCUGCUUUGCUGACGAGUGGCGGACGGGUGAGUAAUGUCUGGGAAACUGCCUGAUGGAGGGGGAUAACUACUGGAAACGGUAGCUAAUACCGCAUAACGUCGCAAGACCAAAGAGGGGGACCUUCGGGCCUCUUGCCAUCGGAUGUGCCCAGAUGGGAUUAGCUUGUUGGUGGGGUAACGGCUCACCAAGGCGACGAUCCCUAGCUGGUCUGAGAGGAUGACCAGCCACACUGGAACUGAGACACGGUCCAGACUCCUACGGGAGGCAGCAGUGGGGAAUAUUGCACAAUGGGCGCAAGCCUGAUGCAGCCAUGCCGCGUGUAUGAAGAAGGCCUUCGGGUUGUAAAGUACUUUCAGCGGGGAGGAAGGGAGUAAAGUUAAUACCUUUACUCAUUGACGUUACCCGCAGAAGAAGCACCGGCUAACUCCGUGCCAGCAGCCGCGGUAAUACGGAGGGUGCAAGCGUUAAUCGGAAUUACUGGGCGUAAAGCGCACGCAGGCGGUUUGUUAAGUCAGAUGUGAAAUCCCCGGGCUCAACCUGGGAACUGCAUCUGAUACUGGCAAGCUUGAGUCUCGUAGAGGGGGGUAGAAUUCCAGGUGUAGCGGUGAAAUGCGUAGAGAUCUGGAGGAAUACCGGUGGCGAAGGCGGCCCCCUGGACGAAGACUGACGCUCAGGUGCGAAAGCGUGGGGAGCAAACAGGAUUAGAUACCCUGGUAGUCCACGCCGUAAACGAUGUCGACUUGGAGGUUGUGCCCUUGAGGCGUGGCUUCCGGAGCUAACGCGUUAAGUCGACCGCCUGGGGAGUACGGCCGCAAGGUUAAAACUCAAAUGAAUUGACGGGGGCCCGCACAAGCGGUGGAGCAUGUGGUUUAAUUCGAUGCAACGCGAAGAACCUUACCUGGUCUUGACAUCCACAGAACUUUCCAGAGAUGGAUUGGUGCCUUCGGGAACUGUGAGACAGGUGCUGCAUGGCUGUCGUCAGCUCGUGUUGUGAAAUGUUGGGUUAAGUCCCGCAACGAGCGCAACCCUUAUCCUUUGUUGCCAGCGGUCCGGCCGGGAACUCAAAGGAGACUGCCAGUGAUAAACUGGAGGAAGGUGGGGAUGACGUCAAGUCAUCAUGGCCCUUACGACCAGGGCUACACACGUGCUACAAUGGCGCAUACAAAGAGAAGCGACCUCGCGAGAGCAAGCGGACCUCAUAAAGUGCGUCGUAGUCCGGAUUGGAGUCUGCAACUCGACUCCAUGAAGUCGGAAUCGCUAGUAAUCGUGGAUCAGAAUGCCACGGUGAAUACGUUCCCGGGCCUUGUACACACCGCCCGUCACACCAUGGGAGUGGGUUGCAAAAGAAGUAGGUAGCUUAACCUUCGGGAGGGCGCUUACCACUUUGUGAUUCAUGACUGGGGUGAAGUCGUAACAAGGUAACCGUAGGGGAACCUGCGGUUGGAUCACCUCCUUACCUUAAAGAAGC